AAAGAAAGAGGUGCCAAUUUCAUAUUUGUUGAUGAAACAUGGAUUUUCCAGAGAGGCAAGGCAUUAAUUUAUUUGAAAAUUUGUUCUGUGGUCCAAUACAAAGUAUUUCAUUUCCAUUUCAUAUAUUUUUCAGGAACUGUAUCAAAGUCAUGGCAGGACAAGAGUCUACAAUCUGCGAAGAGACGUACUGUUGGAGAUGGUAAAAGGUUUAUUGUUGUUAAUGCUGGAGGGCGCACUGGCUUUGUGCCAGGAGCAGGAUUACUUUUUGUUUCAGGUCAGAAGACUGCAGACUACCAUGGCGAGAUGAAUGGGGAAACUUUCUUGAUGUGGUUUGAAGACAUGUUGGUGCAUCUGGAGGAACCCAGUGUCAUUAUAAUGGACAAUGCUUCAUAUCACAGCACCCAGGUUGAGAAAACACCUACAACGAACUGGACCAAGGAUGCACUGAUCGCGUGGCUGGAGAAGAAUGAGAUAAAACAUGAAAAUAAUUUGUUGAAAGUGGAGCUGCUGAGAAUAGCUAAACAAAACAAGCCCCGAAUACGAUGGGCGAGGUGUGUGGAUCACGUGGAGAAGCUAAUUCAAGCAGACUGGGAGAGAGAAGUCCACAUAGACAGCGGCACCAUUCCUCCACUCAUCAUCCACCUCGGCGAGGAUAGUUCAAGUGAAGACAGUGACAGCGAAGAAUUUGAGGUUACGACACAGUUAGUAGAUGGAGACAGUGAAGUACUGGCAGUUCCUCUUGAUGAUUUACCCGGGUGUUCUUAUUGAGGUCUGUAUGUAAUAAACACCUGGGCAACUGUAAGUAUUGGGGUUUGAAACAUUUUUUUUUCUUUUAUGCAUUCCCAUUAAGUAUGUUGAUUACUGGAACUUUAUGUAUUAACUUUAUAUUACACAUAUUAUAAAAUUAAUAAUAAAUUUCAUUUCUGGAUUCGUAUAGGUGUAUGUGAAACAUUUUAUUUUGUUGUGUCUCUUCAUUUUUCAGUGAACUUACUUGGAAAACAAAAAGCCAGUCCCCAUCCAGGGCCACAAAUAAAUAAUGCAUAUAAGUGGUAUAGAAAUUACUGUCAAUUCUUUACCACAAUUUUACUGUUCAUAAAAUUAUGAUUUUGUCUAAUAAGUAUACUCAGGAAAAUGUAUAUAACCAUAUUUUUAUUUGUGGCCUUAACCGGCAAAAUGGUAGGGGUUUAUUAAAUAAAAGAAGAAAAUUCAUUUUUAAAUGUUUUCAUCUGAAUUUGUUAAUUUUAUUAAACCUUCAAUCCUUAGUCUUUUCCAGAUUGCUUAGAUGGACAGCCAUAUGUAUAAUUUACAAUACUUUUUUUUUCAGAUGCAGAAAACUGUGUUGAACUGUACUAAAGGAUGAUAUUUAUUGCUUACAUAAAUGUUGUAAAUUUAUAUGUUCUACUAAAAAUUUACUUUAAAUUAUAUGUUAUUUCUUUAGCUAACAAACUUAUUUUUUAAUAUUUUUACCAUUGGGUAUCAUAAAUGUUAUGCACAUAUACAUGUAUACUUAGAUCAUAUUCAAAUUACUUAUAUAUAUAUAUA
This is a long non-coding RNA of Bacillus rossius redtenbacheri, 1542 nucleotides long. RefSeq lists it as uncharacterized. The transcript is spliced from 3 exons. Lineage: Eukaryota; Metazoa; Arthropoda; Insecta; Phasmatodea; Bacillidae. The record is from RefSeq and is a predicted model, not a curated record.